This 738-nucleotide ribosomal RNA is filed under the name uncultured archaeon. Its description in RNAcentral is "bacterial SSU rRNA". It matches the Rfam family "Archaeal small subunit ribosomal RNA", at positions 54 to 798 of the family's 1478-position model. The record is from RNAcentral.
UGAGUCGUUGCAGCAAUGCAAGGCAGACGGCUCAGUAACACGUAGUCAACCUAACCUAUGGACGGGGAUAACCUCGGGAAACUGAGAAUAAUACCCGAUAGAUCAUGAUACCUGGAACGGUUUAUGGUUCAAAUGAUUUAUCGCCAUAGGAUGGGACUGCGGUCUAUCAGCUUGUUGGUGAGGUAAUGGCCCACCAAGGCUAUAACAGAUACGGGCUCUGAGAGGAGGGGCCCGGAGAUGGGUACUGAGACACGGACCCAGGUCCUAUGGGGCGCAGCAGGCGAGAAACCUUUGCAAUGUGCGAAAGCACGACAAGGUUAAUCCGAGUGAUUCCUGCUAAAGGAAUCUUUUGUUAGUCAUAAAACCACUGAUGAAUAAGGGGUGGGCAAGUUCUGGUGUCAGCCGCCGCGGUAAUACCAGCACCUCGAGUGGUCAGGAGGUUUAUUGGGCCUAAAGCAUCCGUAGCCGGCUGCUCAAGUUUCCGGUUAAAUCCACACGCUUAACGUAUGGGCUGCCGGAAAUACUGUUCAGCUAGGGAGUGGGAGAGGUAGACGGUACUCGAUAGGAAGGGGUAAAAUCCUUUGAUCUAUUGAUGACCACCUGUGGCGAAGGCGGUCUACCAGAACACGUUCGACGGUGAGGGAUGAAAGCUGGGGGAGCAAACCGGAUUAGAUACCCGGGUAGUCCCAGCUGUAAACGAUGCAGACUCGGUGAUGCAUUGGCUUAUGGCCAGUGCAG